GACGAACGCUGGCGGUAUGCUUAACACAUGCAAGUCGAACGAGAAAGUUUUGGUGGAUCCUUCGGGUGACAUUAGAACUGGAAAGUGGCGAACGGGUGAGUAACGCGUGGGUAACCUGCCCUAUGGAAAGGAAUAGCCUCGGGAAACUGGGAGUAAAGCCUUAUAUUAUGGUUUUGUCGCAUGGCAAGAUCAUGAAAACUCCGGUGCCAUAGGAUGGACCCGCGUCCCAUUAGCUAGUUGGUGAGAUAACAGCCCACCAAGGCGACGAUGGGUAACCGGUCUGAGAGGGCGAACGGUCACACUGGAACUGAGACACGGUCCAGACUCCUACGGGAGGCAGCAGUGGGGAAUAUUGCGCAAUGGGGGCAACCCUGACGCAGCAAUACCGCGUGAGUGAAGAAGGUUUUCGGAUCGUAAAGCUCUGUUAUUGGGGAAGAAGAAUGACGGUACCCAAUGAGGAAGUCCCGGCUAACUACGUGCCAGCAGCCGCGGUAAUACGUAGGGGACAAGCGUUGUCCGGAAUGACUGGGCGUAAAGGGCGCGUAGGCGGUCUAUUAAGUCUGAUGUGAAAGGUACCGGCUCAACCGGUGAAGUGCAUUGGAAACUGGUAGACUUGAGUAUUGGAGAGGCAAGUGGAAUUCCUAGUGUAGCGGUGAAAUGCGUAGAUAUUAGGAGGAACACCAGUGGCGAAGGCGGCUUGCUGGACAAAUACUGACGCU
Molecule: ribosomal RNA, 719 nt
Filed under: uncultured bacterium
Lineage: Bacteria
Description: bacterial SSU rRNA
Rfam family: Bacterial small subunit ribosomal RNA
Source: RNAcentral